This 356-nucleotide small RNA is filed under the name Histoplasma capsulatum var. duboisii H88. RNAcentral's name for it is "Histoplasma capsulatum H88 hypothetical RNA". The record is from RNAcentral. Lineage: Eukaryota; Fungi; Ascomycota; Eurotiomycetes; Onygenales; Ajellomycetaceae.
UACACCAUAUAUGUGCAUAGCGGAUGAAUGCCCAGAUUCUCAUCCACAUUUUUCAGAGUUCAAUGAUUGGCUAAAACAUAUGCAAGGACAUGGCCAACAUUGGUACCAAGGAUUAUUCCAGGUGAUGUCCUGGAGAUGCUUGGACUGCACACCUGACCUGAAGGUCUUCAUCAAUUCACAUCGCCUACUCCUCCAUAUGCAAGAGCAACACAAGGAGCACUACACAGACCGCCAAAUUGAGAUAAUAUCGCGGAAUAGCACAGGGAGGGAACCAAGGUUGGAUAAAUGCCGAUUAUGUUAUUACAAAAUUGGGGAGACUGCCUCGCCUAAGCAUCUAUAUUCCAGAAAACGUCGGA